AUUGAACGCUGGCGGCAGGCUUAACACAUGCAAGUCGAGCGGGGGAAGGUAGCUUGCUACUGGACCUAGCGGCGGACGGGUGAGUAAUGCUUAGGAAUCUGCCUAUUAGUGGGGGACAACAUCUCGAAAGGGAUGCUAAUACCGCAUACGUCCUACGGGAGAAAGCAGGGGAUCUUCGGCCCUUGCGCUAAUAGAUGAGUCUAAGUCGGAUUAGCUAGUUGGUGGGGUACAGGCCUACCAAGGAGACGAUCUGUAGCGGGUCUGAGAGGAGGGUCCGCCCCACUGGGACUGAGAAACGGCCCAGACUCCUACGGGAGGCAGCAGUGGGGAAUAUUGGACAAUGGGGGGAACCCUGAUCCAGCCAUGCCGCGUGUGUGAAGAAGGCCUUAUGGUUGUAAAGCACUUUAAGCGAGGAGGAGGCUACUCUAGUUAAUACCUAGGGAUAGUGGACGUUACUCGCAGAAUAAGCACCGGCUAACUCUGUGCCAGCAGCCGCCGUAA
This 501-nucleotide ribosomal RNA is filed under the name uncultured bacterium. RNAcentral describes it as "partial 16S ribosomal RNA". It matches the Rfam family "Bacterial small subunit ribosomal RNA", at positions 30 to 523 of the family's 1533-position model. The record is from RNAcentral.